UACGUAGGGUGCGAGCGUUGUCCGGAAUUACUGGGCGUAAAGGGCGCGUAGGCGGCCAGCACAAGUCAGUUGUGAAAUCUCCGGGCUUAACUCGGAAAGGUCAACCGAUACUGCGGGGCUAGAGUGCAGAAGGGGCAACUGGAAUUCUCGGUGUAGCGGUGAAAUGCGUAGAUAUCGAGAGGAACACCUGCGGCGAAGGCGGGUUGCUGGGCUGACACUGACGCUGAUGCGCGAAAGCCAGGGGAGCGAACGGG
RNAcentral lists this ribosomal RNA (254 nucleotides) under uncultured bacterium. RNAcentral's name for it is "partial 16S ribosomal RNA". It matches the Rfam family "Bacterial small subunit ribosomal RNA", at positions 524 to 776 of the family's 1533-position model. The record is from RNAcentral.